RNAcentral lists this long non-coding RNA (1400 nucleotides) under Vulpes vulpes (red fox). Its description in RNAcentral is "lncRNA (ENSVVUG00000019715.1)". The record is from RNAcentral. Lineage: Eukaryota; Metazoa; Chordata; Mammalia; Carnivora; Canidae.
GGCCAAGUGAGAAAUGCAUGAAUUCUAACCCAAAACUCCUGAGUUUCUGCCACAUGAAUUGCUGUUUCAGAAACUAGUUAUGAAUCAUUUGCAGCCCGACAUCAACUGAAAGACCAGUUAACUUAGUCCUUUAUCUGGAGUCUCCCAAUUCUAAUGUUUUCUUUUCUUUUUUUUUUUAAGAUUUUAUUUAUUUAUUUAUAGAGACACAGAGAGAGAAUGAGAGGCAGAGACACGGCAGAGGGAGAAGCAGGCUCCAUGCAGGGAGCCCAACGUGGGACUCGAUCCAGAGUCUCCAGGAUCACUCCCCGGGCUGCAGGAAGCGCUAAACCACUGCAUCACCGGGGCUGCCCUGGAGUCUCCCAAUUCUAAAUCAAUAAUUUAUGAGAUCCGCAUGCAACUAAGUUAUGUGAACCUGAUGCUCUGCCUCACAGCAAAGCCUUCACAGUGUUCUCAUUUAAGGCAGCAUAAUAAUGAAGUAGUUAAAAAUGACCCUGGAUCAACUUCCAGCUCUGACUAACACAUGUGGGCAUUGUAUCCUAUGACCAGGAGUACAAUUUGAGGCUUACAGAUUACCUGGAGUGCAUCCACUUUGGAGGUGUUGACUCCAUGGAUCUGGGUGGAACAGGAUUCUCAGACUUCAGGCAGCCCCUCAUUCUCCAGGACUUCGCAGGAGGCUUCCUGAUUUCAGCUGGAUUUGAACCAGGAGGCUGGAGAAGCUGGGAGCUGCCCUGGAUCCUAAGGAUGAAGCUUGCACAGAGAAAGGCAUCCCUGUUGGCGCUGAUUCAUUUUCAUUUGCAUUCUCAAACUCUUCAAUUAGAAAUGCACCGUGAUCCAGCAGACAGUUUUCCUUCCCUCCGCCACAGUGCCGCGUCGCGGUGUGUGCGAGCUUUAGGGGCCCUGUCUGCCUCUGAAUGUCUCAUUUAUAAAAUGAAAAUCCUCUUGGUCUUGAUGCACAUUGGAAUUUUUAUGAACUUCUGCAAAGAGGCUGGCUUGCUAUUUUUUUUUUCAUUUUUGUAAAGUCAGUAUUGUUUUUUAGUGACUUUUUUGUGGGUGGACUUAAAGUUGCAUUUGUUUUCCUUUUUUUUUUUUCAUUUUUAACCAGUGCGUAGGGGAUAUGGCCUGGGCAUCCAACACAGUUUAGGGGCCCUUGGGUGACAAAGUUAAUGGUGAGAUCUCCUUCUCCCGGAAAAUUGACACUGGGGUGAUACUGUGAACUCACAUAUGCUCACUCCCCUUAGCCCAUGUCCCUGGCAGCCACUGAUCCAUCCAUGCUCCAAGUCUGACAUUUUUAGACUAUUACAUAAAUGGUAUCUUUGUGUUUUUGACUCUAGUUUGUGGUUAUGCCUGUUUUCCCAUUUAUGCCCACUUAUUUUCAAACUAUUCUUAACCCUACUUUUACA